RNAcentral lists this ribosomal RNA (253 nucleotides) under uncultured bacterium. Its description in RNAcentral is "partial 16S ribosomal RNA". It matches the Rfam family "Bacterial small subunit ribosomal RNA", at positions 524 to 776 of the family's 1533-position model. The record is from RNAcentral.
UACGAAGGGGGCUAGCGUUGUCGCGAAUUACUGGGCGUAAAGCGCACGUAGGCGGUAUUGCAAGUCGGAUGUGAAAUCCCUCGGCUCAACCAAGGAAGUGCAUCCGAAACUGCCGUACUUGAGUACGAAAGAGGAUCGCGGAAUUCCCGGUGUAGAGGUGAAAUUCGUAGAUAUCGGGAGGAACACCAGUGGCGAAGGCGGCGAUCUGGGUCGAUACUGACGCUGAGGUGCGAAAGCGUGGGGAGCAAACAGG